UACAGAGGUCUCAAGCGUUGUUCGGAAUCACUGGGCGUAAAGGGUGCGUAGGUUGCGUGGUAAGUCAGAUGUGAAAGCCUGGGGCUCAACCUCAGAAUUGCAUCCGAUACUGCCGUGCUAGAGUACUGAAGAGGUGACUAGAAUUCUAGGUGUAGCAGUGAAAUGCGUAGAUAUCUAGAGGAAUACCAAAGGCGUAGGCAGGUCACUGGGCAGUUACUGACACUGAGGCACGAAGGCCAGGGGAGCAAACGGG
Molecule: ribosomal RNA, 253 nt
Filed under: uncultured Prosthecobacter sp.
Lineage: Bacteria; Pseudomonadati; Verrucomicrobiota; Verrucomicrobiia; Verrucomicrobiales; Verrucomicrobiaceae
Description: partial 16S ribosomal RNA
Rfam family: Bacterial small subunit ribosomal RNA
Source: RNAcentral